UACGUAGGCAGCAAGCGUUGUUCGGAAUUACUGGGCGUCAAGAGUGUGUAGGUGGUUUCGUAAGUUUGGUGUGAAAUCUCCCGGCUUAACUGGGAGGGUGCGCCGAAGACUGCGAUGCUGGAGUAUGGGAGAGGAAAGCGGAAUUCCUGGUGUAGCGGUGAAAUGCGCAGAUAUCAGGAGGAACACCGAUGGCGAAGGCAGGUCUCUGGGCCAUAACUGACGCUGAGAAGCGAAAGCAUGGGGAGCGAACAGG
RNAcentral lists this ribosomal RNA (253 nucleotides) under uncultured bacterium. RNAcentral's name for it is "partial 16S ribosomal RNA". It matches the Rfam family "Bacterial small subunit ribosomal RNA", at positions 524 to 776 of the family's 1533-position model. The record is from RNAcentral.